RNAcentral lists this ribosomal RNA (758 nucleotides) under uncultured cyanobacterium. RNAcentral's name for it is "bacterial SSU rRNA". It matches the Rfam family "Bacterial small subunit ribosomal RNA", at positions 28 to 829 of the family's 1533-position model. Lineage: Bacteria; Bacillati; Cyanobacteriota. The record is from RNAcentral.
GAUGAACGCUGGCGGUAUGCUUAACACAUGCAAGUCGAACGGAUGUUUUCGGAAUUAGUGGCGGACGGGUGAGUAACGCGUGAGAAUCUAGCUUCAGGUUGGGGACAACAGUUGGAAACGACUGCUAAUACCGAAUGUGCCGAAAGGUGAAAGAUUUAUUGCCUGAAGAAGAGCUCGCGUCUGAUUAGCUAGUUGGUGGGGUAAGAGCUUACCAAGGCGACGAUCGGUAGCUGGUCUGAGAGGACGAUCAGCCACACUGGGACUGAGACACGGCCCAGACUCCUACGGGAGGCAGCAGUGGGGAAUUUUCCGCAAUGGGCGAAAGCCUGACGGAGCAAUACCGCGUGAGGGAAGAAGGCUCUUGGGUUGUAAACCUCUUUUCUGAGGGAAGAAAAAAAUGACGGUACCUCAGGAAUCAGCAUCGGCUAACUCCGUGCCAGCAGCCGCGGUAAUACGGAGGAUGCAAGCGUUAUCCGGAAUGAUUGGGCGUAAAGCGUCCGCAGGUGGCAAUUCAAGUUUGCGGUUAAAGGCUCUGGCUCAACCAGAGACAGGCCGUGAAAACUGAAUAGCUAGAGUAUGGUAGGGGCAGAGGGAAUUCCCAGUGUAGCGGUGAAAUGCGUAGAGAUUGGGAAGAACACCGGUGGCGAAAGCGCUCUGCUAGGCCAAAACUGACACUGAGGGACGAAAGCUAGGGGAGCGAAUGGGAUUAGAUACCCCAGUAGUCCUAGCCGUAAACGAUGGAUACUAGGUGUAGCUUG